RNAcentral lists this ribosomal RNA (842 nucleotides) under Streptomyces diastaticus. RNAcentral's name for it is "bacterial SSU rRNA". It matches the Rfam family "Bacterial small subunit ribosomal RNA", at positions 59 to 916 of the family's 1533-position model. Lineage: Bacteria; Bacillati; Actinomycetota; Actinomycetes; Kitasatosporales; Streptomycetaceae. The record is from RNAcentral.
CAGUCGAACGAUGAAGCCCUUCGGGGUGGAUUAGUGGCGAACGGGUGAGUAACACGUGGGCAAUCUGCCCUGCACUCUGGGACAAGCCCUGGAAACGGGGUCUAAUACCGGAUAUGACCGUCCAUCGCAUGGUGGAUGGUGUAAAGCUCCGGCGGUGCAGGAUGAGCCCGCGGCCUAUCAGCUAGUUGGUGAGGUAGUGGCUCACCAAGGCGACGACGGGUAGCCGGCCUGAGAGGGCGACCGGCCACACUGGGACUGAGACACGGCCCAGACUCCUACGGGAGGCAGCAGUGGGGAAUAUUGCACAAUGGGCGAAAGCCUGAUGCAGCGACGCCGCGUGAGGGAUGACGGCCUUCGGGUUGUAAACCUCUUUCAGCAGGGAAGAAGCGAAAGUGACGGUACCUGCAGAAGAAGCGCCGGCUAACUACGUGCCAGCAGCCGCGGUAAUACGUAGGGCGCAAGCGUUGUCCGGAAUUAUUGGGCGUAAAGAGCUCGUAGGCGGCUUGUCACGUCGGUUGUGAAAGCCCGGGGCUUAACCCCGGGUCUGCAGUCGAUACGGGCAGGCUAGAGUUCGGUAGGGGAGAUCGGAAUUCCUGGUGUAGCGGUGAAAUGCGCAGAUAUCAGGAGGAACACCGGUGGCGAAGGCGGAUCUCUGGGCCGAUACUGACGCUGAGGAGCGAAAGCGUGGGGAGCGAACAGGAUUAGAUACCCUGGUAGUCCACGCCGUAAACGGUGGGCACUAGGUGUGGGCAACAUUCCACGUUGUCCGUGCCGCAGCUAACGCAUUAAGUGCCCCGCCUGGGGAGUACGGCCGCAAGGCUAAAACUCAAAGGAAUUGACGG